UACGUAGGGUGCGAGCGUUGUCCGGAAUUACUGGGCGUAAAGAGCUCGUAGGUGGUUUGUCGCGUUGUUCGUGAAAACUCACAGCUCAACUGUGGGCGUGCGGGCGAUACGGGCAGACUGGAGUACUGCAGGGGAGACUGGAAUUCCUGGUGUAGCGGUGGAAUGCGCAGAUAUCAGGAGGAACACCGAUGGCGAAGGCGGGUCUCUGGGCAGUAACUGACGCUGAGGAGCGAAAGCGUGGGGAGCGAACAGG
This 253-nucleotide ribosomal RNA is filed under the name uncultured bacterium. RNAcentral's name for it is "partial 16S ribosomal RNA". It matches the Rfam family "Bacterial small subunit ribosomal RNA", at positions 524 to 776 of the family's 1533-position model. The record is from RNAcentral.